This 253-nucleotide ribosomal RNA is filed under the name uncultured bacterium. RNAcentral describes it as "partial 16S ribosomal RNA". It matches the Rfam family "Bacterial small subunit ribosomal RNA", at positions 524 to 776 of the family's 1533-position model. The record is from RNAcentral.
UACGGAGGGUGCAAGCGUUAUCCGGAUUCACUGGGUUUAAAGGGUGCGUAGGAGGGCAGGUAAGUCAGUGGUGAAAUCUCCGAGCUUAACUUGGAAACUGCCGUUGAUACUAUCUGUCUUGAAUAUUGUGGAGGUGAGCGGAAUAUGUCAUGUAGCGGUGAAAUGCUUAGAUAUGACAUAGAACACCAAUUGCGAAGGCAGCUUACUACACAGUAAUUGACGCUGAGGCACGAAAGCGUGGGGAUCAAACAGG